Molecule: ribosomal RNA, 254 nt
Filed under: uncultured bacterium
Lineage: Bacteria
Description: partial 16S ribosomal RNA
Rfam family: Bacterial small subunit ribosomal RNA
Source: RNAcentral
UACGGGGGGGGCAAGCGUUGUUCGGAAUUACUGGGCGUAAAGGGUUCGUAGGUGGCUUGCUAAGUCAGACGUGAAAUCCCUCAGCUUAACUGGGGAACUGCGUCUGAGACUGGCAAGCUCGAGUGCAGGAGAGGAACGCAGAAUUCCAGGUGUAGCGGUGAAAUGCGUAGAUAUCGUUCGGAACACCAAUAGCGUAGGCAGGCUUCUGGGUGCCACCUGACACUGCUAGGACGAAAGCGUGGGGAGCGAAUGGG